GAAGGAAAGUGCUAGAAUUCUAGUAUGUCUGUUUGAAAGAUGAACAUCUUGGCUAUUUAAUUAUAUUUUUCUGUUUUACAAAGGAGCUGUAUAGCUAAACAAGUGGUGUGUGCUCAGCACAAUGUUCUGUUGCAACGAUAGCUAUCAGAGCAAUCAUAAAGGGACAACUGAAUUUUGGAGUAUUUACCUUUGUAGAGAAACUAGACCUUAGCCAAGAGCAGCAGGGUUUCCCUGUCACUGUCAUUUACAUUAGUCCUUGCUUUGGAUACAUGGCCUCUCAAUACAGAGACUGAGUGCAUCUUGCAAGUGCUGUUCUAAGCUUUUUUAGCUUCAGUGAAAAAAGAAACAGAGUUUGUGUUUUUUAAUGACAGUUGAUAGUGAGAACAACGAAAGGGGAAAAGAAGCUAGAGGGAAAGGAAAAAGGCUGCUUUAGUGAGGCUGGAAAUAAAUCAGGACUGUCUGGUAAACAUGUACUUUUUAAAAAUCUUAGUUAGAUAUUGCAUUUUUAGUACCACCAGACAUAUGUUGACAGGGCAAAUGGCUGACAGAGAUCAACAACUCUAAAGUGUUUUUUGUUGUUGUUGUUGGUGGUUUUUUUUUUUUGUUGUUUUGUUGUUUUUUUUUUGUUGUUUUUUCUUUCUUUAAAUAAAGUAAAUAAGUAAUUUUGGCUCCGUCCUUCCUUUGGGUUGUGUGCUUAGAUCUGAGAAGGACAGAGAACACAGACACAUCCUCCCACAUCCUGGUCACAGCUUUUGGCUUUUACAAAAUAACAAGGAAUGGAGCUAAGUGUCACCUGAGGGACGCUUGAGAAGGCUGUUUGGAAUGAGGACAGGCCAGGAGAGUGAUGACCAGAAUUUUCAUAUCAGCGGUGAUCCGCAGACAAAGCACCAACCUGCAGAAACAUCUCAGAACAAGAAAGAAAAAAGGAGAGGGAAGGAAGGAGGGAAGGAGGGAAGGAACGAAGGAAGGAAGAAAAGAAAAGAAAAAAAAGGAGAGAGAGAAGGAGAGAAGGAGAGAAAGAAAGGAUAAUCCUAUUAUACUUUCCAAAAGGACUCAUUAG
This 1060-nucleotide long non-coding RNA is filed under the name Anas platyrhynchos platyrhynchos (common mallard). RNAcentral's name for it is "lncRNA (ENSAPLG00000026510.1)". The record is from RNAcentral. Lineage: Eukaryota; Metazoa; Chordata; Aves; Anseriformes; Anatidae.